CCUACGGGCGGCAGCAGUGAGGCAUAUUGGUCAAUGGACGAGAGUCUGAACCAGCCAAGUAGCGUGCAGGCUGACUGCCCUAUGGGUUGUAAACUGCUUUUAUAAAGGAAUAAAACGAGGCACGUGUGCCUUUUUGUAUGUACUUUAUGAAUAAGGAUCGGCUAACUCCGUGCCAGCAGCCGCGGUAAUACGGAGGAUCCGAGCGUUAUCCGGAUUUAUUGGGUUUAAAGGGAGCGUAGAGGGGUUGUUAAGUCAGUUGUGAAAGUUUGGGGCUCAACCAUAAAAUUGCAAUUGAUACUGGCAGUCUUGAGUACAGUUGAGGUAGGCGGAAUGCGUGGUGUAGCGGUGAAAUGCUUAGAUAUCACGAAGAACCCCGAUUGCGAAGGCAGAUUACUAAACUGCGACUGACAUUGAUGCUCGAAAGUGUGGGUAUCAAACAGGAUUAGAUACCCCUGUAGUC
Molecule: ribosomal RNA, 460 nt
Filed under: uncultured bacterium
Lineage: Bacteria
Description: partial 16S ribosomal RNA
Rfam family: Bacterial small subunit ribosomal RNA
Source: RNAcentral